This is a non-coding RNA of Heterocephalus glaber (naked mole-rat), 1141 nucleotides long. The record is from RefSeq and is a predicted model, not a curated record. Lineage: Eukaryota; Metazoa; Chordata; Mammalia; Rodentia; Bathyergidae.
UGUUCCUAAAUUAUUCUCUUCUCUUUUGUAGCUGUAACUUUUUUUCCAGUAUAGAUAAAAAUCAACAACUAUGUCUUGUAAACAAAGUUUAUGACACUCUGUUUUCAUAUGAUUCAUAAGACACUGUCCUCUUACAAGGCUAAAUUACAAAACUAUCUGCCCUUGUCAUGUUCCGGUAAACUCACUUGCUUCAUCACUAGAAAGACUAGCCCCCACUUCGACCAAAUAUAUAAAAGCUAGAAUUUUUCUUUGUUCAACACUCUUUCUUUGGACAGGAGUCUAUUGAGCUGGUGUACAACUUAAAAUAAAUACUCCUGAUUCCCAUUGGUCUCUCCUGUCUCUUAGAAUUCUACAACAUUUCUGGCAACCACAAAGGGACUGGGGACAACAGAGUUGCUGUCUCCUUUGCCUGCAGGCCUGAGAAGGGCCCAAGCUUCAGGAAUCCUGAGACCUCUAGUACCACCAGGUGAGACUUCAGCUCUGACAAAGAGGCAGUCCUCCCACAGUCUGGAACCCAUCCCUGCCAGCACAACAGAACCUAUUGGGAUUCAGGACAAUUCUAGAACAACAGCGCGCUAUAGGACCGAGGUUUGGAAAAAAACAAAACAAAACAAUAAACCAUGAGAAUUACAAGGUGGCUGAGUCCUGCGAAUCUUUCUAGCAUAUCACUGAUCCUAACCAGGAACUUUGCAUUGAGCUAACCAUUCUGCUAAACAUGAUUCAAUCAUGGAUACUGCCACAGAAAGGCCAGCUCAACACCAACCCACUACCUACAGCCUUGCAGCCUCCUAUAUGAAACUGCCGAUGGGCACUGCUGCACAGGGAACAGUUGUGAAUUCUGAUGGAGGAGAAACAUGCCAUGUCCCACCAGGUAAAGCUGCAUGAGCCAGAGUGAGCUCCACAGGGGAGACAGGAACCAGAACAACCCAGAAGAACCUCAGGCUACAGGACCCCAAGUUGCCUCCGUUAAGAUCUCUCCCACCAGAGUGUAGACUGGUGCAACCACUGUGGAAAUCAGUAUGGAGAUGCCUCAAAGAACUAAGACUGGAAGUCUCAUUUGACCCAGCUAUUCCCCUGCUGGGUAUCUUCCCCAAAGAACUAAAAGAAUCAUACCACAGUGAUAUAUGUGCACCCAUGUUUA